RNAcentral lists this ribosomal RNA (1246 nucleotides) under Sesame phyllody phytoplasma. RNAcentral's name for it is "bacterial SSU rRNA". It matches the Rfam family "Bacterial small subunit ribosomal RNA", at positions 153 to 1399 of the family's 1533-position model. Lineage: Bacteria; Bacillati; Mycoplasmatota; Mollicutes; Acholeplasmatales; Acholeplasmataceae. The record is from RNAcentral.
GAAACGACUGCUAAGACUGGAUAGGAAGAUAAAAGGCAUCUUUUAUCUUUUAAAAGACCUAGUAAUAGGUAUGCUUUAGGAGGGGCUUGCGCCAUAUUAGUUAGUUGGUAGGGUAAUGGCCUACCAAGACGAUGAUGUGUAGCUGGACUGAGAGGUUGAACAGCCACAUUGGGACUGAGACACGGCCCAAACUCCUACGGGAGGCAGCAGUAGGGAAUUUUCGGCAAUGGAGGAAACUCUGACCGAGCAACGCCGCGUGAAUGACGAAGUACUUCGGUAUGUAAAGUUCUUUUAUCAAGGAAGAAAAGCAAAUGGCGAACCAUUUGUUUGCCGGUACUUGAUGAAUAAGCCCCGGCUAAUUAUGUGCCAGCAGCCGCGGUAAGACAUAAGGGGCAAGUGUUAUCCGGAAUUAUUGGGCGUAAAGGGUGCGUAGGCGGUCUAGUAAGUCAGUGGUGUAAUGGCAACGCUUAACGUUGUCCGGCUAUUGAAACUGCUAAACUUGAGUUAGAUAGAGGCGAGUGGAAUUCCAUGUGUAGCGGUAAAAUGCGUAAAUAUAUGGAGGAACACCAGAGGCGUAGGCGGCUCGCUGGGUCUUAACUGACGCUGAGGCACGAAAGCGUGGGGAGCAAACAGGAUUAGAUACCCUGGUAGUCCACGCCGUAAACGAUGAGUACUAAGUGUCGGGUUAAACCGGUACUGAAGUUAACACAUUAAGUACUCCGCCUGAGUAGUACGUACGCAAGUAUGAAACUUAAAGGAAUUGACGGGACUCCGCACAAGCGGUGGAUCAUGUUGUUUAAUUCGAAGAUACCCGAAAAACCUUACCAGGUCUUGACAUGUUUUUGCAAAAUGAUAGUAAUAUCGUGGAGGUUACCAGAAACACAGGCGGUGCAUGGUUGUCGUCAGCUCGUGUCGUGAGAUGUUAGGUUAAGUCCUAAAACGAGCGAAACCCUUAUCGUUAGUUGCCAGCACGUUAUGGUGGGGACUUUAACGAGACUGCCAAUGAUAAAUUGGAGGAAGGUGAGGAUCACGUCAAAUCAGCAUGCCCCUUAUGACCUGGGCUACAAACGUGAUACAAUGGCUGUUACAAAGGGUAGCUGAAACGCAAGUUCUUGGCCAAUCCCCAAAAACAGUCCCAGUCCGGAUUGAAGUCUGCAACUCGACUUCAUGAAGUUGGAAUCGCUAGUAAUCGCGAAUCAGCAUGUCGCGGUGAAUACGUUCUCGGGUUUGUACACACCGCCCGUCA